RNAcentral lists this ribosomal RNA (449 nucleotides) under uncultured bacterium. RNAcentral's name for it is "bacterial SSU rRNA". It matches the Rfam family "Bacterial small subunit ribosomal RNA", at positions 329 to 793 of the family's 1533-position model. The record is from RNAcentral.
GACCAGACUCCUACGGGAGGCAGCAGUGGGGAAUAUUGCACAAUGGGGGAAACCCUGAUGCAGCAACGCCGCGUGAGUGAAGAAGUCAUUCGUGAUGUAAAGCUCUAUCAGCAGGGAAGAAGCAAGACGGUACCUGACUAAGAAGCCCCGGCUAACUACGUGCCAGCAGCCGCGGUAAUACGUAGGGGGCAAGCGUUAUCCGGAUUUACUGGGUGUAAAGGGAGCGUAGACGGUAUGGCAAGUCUGAAGUGAAAGCCCAGGGCUUAACCCUGGGACUGCUUUGGAAACUGUUAGACUAGAGUGCUGGGGAGGUAAGUGGAAUUCCUAGUGUAGCGGUGAAAUGCGUAGAUAUUAGGAGGAACACCAGUGGCGAAGGCGGCUUGCUGGACGAUGACUGACGCUGAGGCUCGAAAGCGUGGGGAGCAAACGGGAUUAGAUACCCGAGUAUG